CAAAAACUUGGUCCCGAUUUUAUUGUCAGCUAUAGCCAAAUUUACACAUGCAAGUAUCCGCGCCCCUGUGAGAAUGCCCUCAUCCUCCCGCCCGGAAGAGAGGAGCCGGUAUCAGGCACAGCCCUGUUGCCCACGACGCCUUGCUCAGCCACACCCCCACGGGAAUUCAGCAGUGAUAAACAUUAGGCAAUUAGCGAAAGCUUGACCUAAUUAUGGUUAAGAGGGCCGGUAAAUCUCGUGCCAGCCACCGCGGUUAUACGGGAAGGCCCAAGUUGACGAAGCCCGGCGUAAAGCGUGGUUAAGAGUACAUCAAACUAAAGCCGAAGACUAUCAAGGCUGUCGCACGCAUGUCGAGAGCGCGAAGAACCUUUACGAAAGUAGCUUUAAUCAUCUGAACCCACGAAAGCUAAGGUACAAACUGGGAUUAGAUACCCCACUAUGCUUAGCCGUAAACGCAGGUGUGAGUAAUACCCCCCUACUCGCCAGGGAACUACUAGCGGCAGCUUAAAACCCAAAGGACUUGGCGGCGCUUUAGACCCACCUAGAGGAGCCUGUUCUAUAACCGAUAACCCCCGUUAAACCUCACCUCUCCUAGUUAUCACAGCCUAUAUACCGCCGUCGUCAGUCUACCCCGUGAGGGAUAAGAAGUAGACAAAAUUGGCACCGCCCAAAACGUCAGGUCGAGGUGUAGCCAAUGGAGAGGGAAGAAAUGGGCUACAUUUUCUCACGGAGAAAACUACGGAAAACGAACUGAAAACCGCAUACGAAGGAGGAUUUAGCAGUAAGCGGGGAACAUAGUGCCCCUCUGAAACCGGCCCUAAAGCGUGCACACACCGGCCGUCACCCUCCCCAAAGUUGCACACUAAUUACUACGUCAGAAAUAACAGCCAUAUAAGGGGAGGCAAGUCGUAACAUGGUAAGUGUACCGGAAGGUGCACUUGGAAAAU
RNAcentral lists this non-coding RNA (947 nucleotides) under Carapus bermudensis. Its description in RNAcentral is "12S rRNA". It matches the Rfam family "Bacterial small subunit ribosomal RNA". The record is from RNAcentral. Lineage: Eukaryota; Metazoa; Chordata; Actinopteri; Ophidiiformes; Carapidae.